Molecule: ribosomal RNA, 253 nt
Filed under: uncultured bacterium
Lineage: Bacteria
Description: partial 16S ribosomal RNA
Rfam family: Bacterial small subunit ribosomal RNA
Source: RNAcentral
GACGAAGGAUGCAAGCGUUAUCCGGAAUUAUUGGGCGUAAAGCGUCCGCAGGUGGCUAAUCAAGUCCGCAGUCAAAGACUGGAGCUAAACUCCAGGAAGGCAGUGGAAACUGAGAAGCUAGAGUACGGUAGGGGUAGAGGGAAUUCCCAGUGUAGCGGUGAAAUGCGUAGAUAUUGGGAAGAACACCAGUGGCGAAGGCGCUCUACUGGGCCGAAACUGACACUCAGGGACGAAAGCUAGGGGAGCGAAAGGG